GUGCCUACGGGGCGCAGCAGUGGGGAAUAUUGCACAAUGGGCGCAAGCCUGAUGCAGCGACGCCGCGUGCGGGAUGGAGGCCUUCGGGUUGUAAACCGCUUUUGUUCAAGGGCAAGGCACGGUCUUUGGCCGUGUUGAGUGGAUUGUUCGAAUAAGCACCGGCUAACUACGUGCCAGCAGCCGCGGUAAUACGUAGGGUGCAAGCGUUAUCCGGCUUUAUUGGGCGUAAAGGGCUCGUAGGCGGUUCGUAGCGGCCGGUGUGAAAGUCGAUCGCUUAACGGGGGAUCCGCGGCGGGUACGGGCGG
Molecule: ribosomal RNA, 305 nt
Filed under: uncultured bacterium
Lineage: Bacteria
Description: bacterial SSU rRNA
Rfam family: Bacterial small subunit ribosomal RNA
Source: RNAcentral